Enhydrobacter aerosaccus is the source of this 361-nucleotide non-coding RNA. NCBI's taxonomy places the organism in Bacteria, Pseudomonadati, Pseudomonadota, Alphaproteobacteria, Hyphomicrobiales. The record is from Rfam.
GGGGAUGUUCUGGCUUCGACGCUGGUAAUGAAACUCAAUGAUGCAUGUCGAGUGAGUAUGUCCACUCGUAAAUAAAAUAUAUAUUUUAAACUAGUCGCAAACGACGAAACUUACGCUCUAGCAGCCUAAGGGCUGCUUGGGACGGCACAGAUUGCCAUUGGUCUGGUUGCUCUCCUUGAAGCGAACGCACGAUGGAUAGCUUAAAUUGUUGUCUCGCCAAUUUGAGCAAAACUUAAGAGGCUCGUGGUUGGCAUCCUGACUGUCGGUUCGCCAACCAUUAAAGCCAUAGACAGAAUCUAAACAUGUAGAGUCAUGGGCGUAGUGCUGGCGGACGCGGGUUCAACUCCCGCCAUCUCCACCA